CGUGUCCACUGGAAUCAAGAUGGCCGCCACGAUCACGUGUCCACUGGAGCCAAGAUGGCCGCCACAAUCAUGUGUCCACUGGAACCAAGAUGGAAGCCAUGAUCACGUGUCCACUGGAGCCAAGAUGGCCACCAUGAUGCUGCUUCCACUGGAGCCAAGAUGGCCGCCAUGAUCACGUGUCCACUGGAAUCAAGAUGGCCGCCAUGAUCACGUGUCCACUGGAACCAAGAUGGCCGCCAUGAUGCCGUGUCCACUUGAGCCAAGAUGGCCGCCAGGAUCACGUGCCCACUGGAGCCAAGAUGGCCGCCAUGAUUCCUCCUGAUGAGAUCAAGAUGGCCGCCAAGUCCCAAGUCCACUCAGGCCACAAUGGCCGCCAUGAUUCCUUCCGACGCCACCGGAACCAAGAUGGCCGCCGCCAGACGGGAAGCCAUCCGGUUUAAAGAUGGCCGCCUCCACGUGACAUCACCAUUUUCCACACGGCCUCCAGUUCCGCCAUGACCACAUCCAAGAUGCAUGCCAGUAUCCAUCGCAGCUUCCGGUUCAAGAUGGCGGCCAGCCCCCAGCUUCCGGUUCGAUUGCCGCAAGCCGCCCCGUUUCCGGUUCAAAAUGGCCGCCAGCCCCCACAACUUCCGGUUCAAGAUGUCCGCCAUCUUGGGGUCACCCGGCAGCCAUCUUGGCCGCAUCCCAGUCAGCCAUCUUGGGGCCAACGUGCCCGCCAUCUUAGGGUCGCCCAGUGGCCAUCUUGGCCCUUGUCGGCCAUCUUGGCUCCCUUGUCAGCCAUCUUGGCCGUGUCGGCCAUCUUGGCUC
This 807-nucleotide long non-coding RNA is filed under the name Numida meleagris (helmeted guineafowl). RNAcentral describes it as "lncRNA (ENSNMEG00000000674.1)". The record is from RNAcentral. Lineage: Eukaryota; Metazoa; Chordata; Aves; Galliformes; Numididae.